Molecule: ribosomal RNA, 532 nt
Filed under: uncultured bacterium
Lineage: Bacteria
Description: bacterial SSU rRNA
Rfam family: Bacterial small subunit ribosomal RNA
Source: RNAcentral
CCUACGGGAGGCAGCAGUGGGGAAUUUUGGACAAUGGGCGCAAGCCUGAUCCAGCAAUGCCGCGUGAGUGAAGAAGGCCUUCGGGUUGUAAAGCUCUUUUGUCAGGGAAGAAACGGUCUACUCUAAUACAGUGGGCUAAUGACGGUACCUGAAGAAUAAGCACCGGCUAACUACGUGCCAGCAGCCGCGGUAAUACGUAGGGUGCAAGCGUUAAUCGGAAUUACUGGGCGUAAAGCGUGCGCAGGCGGUUAUAUAAGUCAGAUGUGAAAUCCCCGGGCUCAACCUGGGAACUGCAUUUGAGACUGUAUGGCUAGAGUGUGUCAGAGGGGGGUAGAAUUCCACGUGUAGCAGUGAAAUGCGUAGAUAUGUGGAGGAAUACCGAUGGCGAAGGCAGCCCCCUGGGAUAACACUGACGCUCAUGCACGAACGACGGUGGGGAGGACGAACGAAGGAGUAGUAUACCUACGGUAGUACCGACCGACCCGUAACCGAACUAGUCUACUAGUUGUCGGUACGUUAUUAGUCUUGUACG